AUUGAACGCUGGCGGCAGGCCUAACACAUGCAAGUCGAGCGAGCGGCGGACGGGUGAGUAAGGUCUGGGAAACUGACUGAUGGAGGGGGAUAAAUAAUGGAAACGGUAGCUAAAACCGCAUACAAACAGAUGGGAACAGAUGGGAUUAGCGUGUAGGUGGGGUAACGGCUCACCUAGGCGACGAUCCCUAGCUGGUCUGAGAGGAUGACCAGCCACACUGGAACUGGACCACGGUCCAGCCUCCUACGGUGGGCAGCAGUGGGGAAUAUUGCACAAUGGGCGCAAGCCUGAUGCAGCCAUGCCGCGUGUGUGAAGAAGGCCUUCGGGUUGUAAAGCACUUUCAGCGGGGAGGCGUUACCCACAGAAGAAGCACCGGCUAACUCCGUGCCAGCAGCCGCGGUAAUUC
This 406-nucleotide ribosomal RNA is filed under the name uncultured bacterium. Its description in RNAcentral is "partial 16S ribosomal RNA". It matches the Rfam family "Bacterial small subunit ribosomal RNA", at positions 29 to 526 of the family's 1533-position model. The record is from RNAcentral.